This 276-nucleotide ribosomal RNA is filed under the name uncultured Actinomycetes bacterium. RNAcentral describes it as "uncultured actinobacterium partial 16S ribosomal RNA". It matches the Rfam family "Bacterial small subunit ribosomal RNA", at positions 1133 to 1407 of the family's 1533-position model. Lineage: Bacteria; Bacillati; Actinomycetota; Actinomycetes. The record is from RNAcentral.
GGGAACUCACAAGAGACUUCCGGGGUCAACUCGGAGGAAGGUGGGGACGACGUCAAGUCAUCAUGCCCCUUAUGUCUAGGGCUGCACGCAUGCUACAAUGGCCGAUACAAAGGGCUGCGAUACCGCAAGGUGGAGCGAAUCCCAUAAAGUCGGUCUCAGUUCGGAUUGAGGUCUGCAACUCGACCUCAUGAAGUUGGAGUUGCUAGUAAUCGCGGAUCAGCAACGCCGCGGUGAAUACGUUCCCGGGCCUUGUACACACCGCCCGUCACGUCACGA